This 371-nucleotide ribosomal RNA is filed under the name uncultured Geobacter sp. RNAcentral describes it as "bacterial SSU rRNA". It matches the Rfam family "Bacterial small subunit ribosomal RNA", at positions 527 to 896 of the family's 1533-position model. The record is from RNAcentral. Lineage: Bacteria; Pseudomonadati; Thermodesulfobacteriota; Desulfuromonadia; Geobacterales; Geobacteraceae.
GUAGGAUGCGAGCGUUGUCCGGAUUUAUUGGGCGUAAAGAGUUCGUAGGUGGUUUGUUAAGUCUGAUGUUAAAGACUGGGGCUCAACCCUGGAAAUGCAUUGGAUACUGGCAGACUUGAGUGUGGUAGAGGCUAGUGGAAUUCCCAGUGUAGCGGUGAAAUGCGUAGAUAUUGGGAAGAACACCGGUGGCGUAGGCGACUAGCUGGGCCAUAACUGACACUGAGGAACGAAAGCCAGGGUAGCGAAUGGGAUUAGAUACCCCAGUAGUCCUGGCCGUAAACGAUGGAUACUAGGCGUAUCGGGUAUCGACCCCUGAUGUGCCGCAGCUAACGCGAUAAGUAUCCCGCCUGAGUAGUACGGCCGCAAGGUUG